Molecule: ribosomal RNA, 779 nt
Filed under: uncultured Neocallimastigales
Lineage: Eukaryota; Fungi; Neocallimastigomycota; Neocallimastigomycetes; Neocallimastigales
Description: partial large subunit ribosomal RNA
Rfam family: Eukaryotic large subunit ribosomal RNA
Source: RNAcentral
CGUCUAUAUACGUAUAGCAUAUCAAUAAGCGGAGGAAAAGAGACUAACUAAGGAUUCCCUUAGUAACGGCGAGUGAAGCGGGAAGAGCUCAAAUUUGAAAUCUUCAAGGGUUCUACCUUUACGAAUUGUAGUUUAAAGAAGUGUUUUCUGUUGGAGUUUUCGGUAAAAGUUCUUUGGAAUAGGACAUCAUAGAGGGUGAGAAUCCCGUAUUUGACCGUUACUUUCCAGCUGUGUGAUACACUUUCAAAGAGUCGGAUUGUUUGGGAAUGCAGUCCAAAAUGGGUGGUAAAUUUCAUCUAAAGCUAAAUAUUGGCGAGAGACCGAUAGCGAACAAGUACCGUGAGGGAAAGAUGAAAAGAACUUUGAAAAGAGAGUUAAACAGUACGUGAAAUUGUCAAAAGGGAAGCGUUUGACACCAGUGUUGUUUAGUUGAAAAUCAAGUUCAAUAGUUUUUGAUUUUAAGUAGUAUUGACUUCAUCAGCUUGCUGCUUUCUUUUCAGGAAUUAUUGAAUGCACUUUUCAGUUAACAAGUCAACAUCAAUUUCUUUUGUUGUAAAAGGGUAAGAGGAAGGUGGCUUGCGCUUCGGCUCAAGUGUUUAUAGCCUUUUACCUCUGCAAUCGGAGAGAUUGAGGUCUGCAGCGUAGAUCCUUCGGGGUUAGAUACAUUUGUGCUAAGCUAUAGCCUUGUAUAGACAACUUGUUGACUAUGCUCAGUCAUGUAGCUUACUCGCUUAUGCUAUUUUACCUACGCUUAGGAUGUUGAUAUGCAUGACUGAUAU